RNAcentral lists this ribosomal RNA (406 nucleotides) under uncultured bacterium. Its description in RNAcentral is "partial 16S ribosomal RNA". It matches the Rfam family "Bacterial small subunit ribosomal RNA", at positions 29 to 526 of the family's 1533-position model. The record is from RNAcentral.
AUUGAACGCUGGCGGCAGGCCUAACACAUGCAAGUCGAACGAGUGGCGGACGGGUGAGUAAUGUCUGGGAAACUGCCUGAUGGAGGGGGAUAACUACUGGAAACGGUAGCUAAUACCGCAUACCAUCGGAUGUGCCCAAAUGGGAUUAGUUUGUUGGGGGGGUAACGGCUCAGCAAGGCGAAGCUCCCUUGCUGGUCUGAGAGGAUGACCAGCCACACGGGAACUGGGCCACGGCCCAGACGCCUACGGGAGGCAGAAGUGGGGAAUCUUGUGGAAUGGGAGCAAGCCUGAUGCAGCCAUGCCGCGUGAAUGAAGAAGGCGUUCGGGUUGUAAAGUACUUUCAGCGGGGAGGCGUUAUCCGCAGAAGAAGCGCCGGCGAACUCCGUGCCAGCAGCCGCGGUAAUUC